This 6303-nucleotide long non-coding RNA is filed under the name Homo sapiens (human). Its description in RNAcentral is "non-protein coding lnc-VIPR1-6:1". The record is from RNAcentral. Lineage: Eukaryota; Metazoa; Chordata; Mammalia; Primates; Hominidae.
GCUUUAAGCUUGCCUGUUUUAGAACCCGUGGCUGCACUUGUUCAGACACUGAAAUUAGCGUCCGCUUUGAGAGCCUUCAGAGUAUUCGUCGUUGGACCGCUGAUUUUUUUUUUUUUCUGAUAUGCUUCACUGGAACUUUAUUUGCUUCAAAAGUGUAAACGUUGUCAAUACUGUCUGUGAGUGUGUAUUCGGGACUGGUAACCUUUUCUGGAGGGUCUUUUGUUUAUCUGGAAGGAGAGUGGAGGUUACCAUAGGGAAACGGUCUAGUUCCAGGGUCCUUUCCAAUUUCCAACUACAAGAGCAGCGAAGAGGAAGGUGCUCAGACUAAGCUCUGAUUAGCCCUGGAGCCAGUCUGCACUGGGGAGGGUCUCCCCAGAUUGAGUGAAGGGACAACAGGCUGGGAGCUUGACUGGUAGGUUUGGAGAGUUGGACCUGGAGUGACAGAUGGCGCCUUCCCCUCUGUCUCUCGGUUUGGAAUGGUCAUACUCGGUUGCUCUUUGAUCUUGGACCUCAGCUUUGUCACAGAGGUUCCCAGCCCAGUGUAGCCUAAGCCAGCUGGAAAGCUGAGCCCGGCUCUGGGGGAUGCUGAAUCGGUUUAAAGCCCUUGUCUCAGGGCUGCGAGUUUGGCAACAGUUGGGUUUCAGCUUGGCCCCAGCACCAGAGGUCAUGAGAUCGAGACCAUCCUGGCCAACAUGGUGAAACCCCGUCUCUAUUAAAAAUACAAAAAUUAGCUGGGCGUGCUGGUGGACGCCUGUAAUCCCAGCUACUCGGGAGGCUGAGGAAGGAGAAUGGCUUGAACCCGGGAAGUGGAGGUUGCAUUGAGCCAAGAUCGCACUACUGCACUCCAGCCUGGCAACAGAGUAUUAAAAAAGAAAAAGAAAAAGAAAAAAAAAGCAUAUUAAUUAGAAUAGGGAUAUAGGAUCUCACUUUUUUUUGUCUCUCUCCAGGAUUACAGAGAUAAAGCAUUUAUGCAUAUACAGAACCACGGGAUUUUAGAAGUUGUCCAUCAGUUCCUCUGGUUGUUUUGGUACAAUAAAAAAGUGCUUUUUUUAGAGAUAGAAUCUCUGUUGCCUGGGCUGAAGUGCAGUGGCCUGAUCAUAGCUCACUGUAACCUUGAACUCCUGGACUCAAGCCAUCUUCCCGCUUUGGCUUCCUGAGUAGCAUGCGUGCUGCCACACUUGGCUAAUUUUCUUUUCUUUUUUAAAUUUUUUUGUAGAGGUGAGGUCUUGCUAUGUUGCCCAGGCUGCCUUAGCUUCAAGCGAUCCUUCUGCCUUGGCCUCCCGAAGUACUGGGAUUACAAGCAUGAGCCACUGUACCUGGCCAGGCAGUUCUUUAACAUAAACAACGUGUGCUGUGGGUCUGGAUUUUUUUUAUGCUAAGUGCUUGGCUAAGAGGAAGCAUUUGUGUUAGCCAUAAUUAUUGUUUUUACUGAACUCCUUAUGAUCCAUUCAUCCAAAAAUAGUUUGGAACAGGUAUUCUGUGCCACACCUCAAGGGUGGGGUGUGCCCUGGACUUGCUCUGUAUGACAGUAACAGGAAUAGCCCCCAUGGCCUAAAGCAUUGAUGUGAGCUGUGGUUUUUGCUCACCCAUCAACUAGCUUCUCUGCUUUGACUUUGAGGAGAAAGGGUUAAUUUUUCAGUGGUCCCAAGGCAUUAGAAGAAUUGCUUUGGAUUCGAAUAUCAAGACAUUCCAAAGGUCUCUUGUGGAAGAAACAUAGUUUGGUGUUAUAUAUUUGGGAAAACAUCUUUCUAUUUGAGAAAACAAGCAGAUUGUUAUUAUUACAGCAGUGGAUAAAAGGUGUGACAGGCAAAUCAUUGGUAAAAUAGACUAAAACGUUGACUGCUGCAGUAGAUGUUUUAUACUGUAUUUGAAAGAUAGGAAAGUAGUUAGUCUUGUUAAAUAACUGGCCGGGUGUAGCAGCUCACGCCUGUAAUGCCAGCACUUUGGGAGGCCAAGGCGGGUGGAUUGCUUUAGCCCAAGAGUUGGAGACCAGCCUGGGCAAUAUGGUGAAACCCCAUCUCUACAAAACGUACUAAAAUUAGCUGGGCAUGGUGGUGUGUAAACCAGUGUCAGCUGGGUCAUAGGGUCCUUUUUUAAAAAAUUUGAGACAGAGUCUCACUGUGUCACCCAGGCUGGAGUGCAGUGGCACAAUCACGGCUCACUGCAGCCUCGACCUCCCUGGGCUCAGGUGAUUCUCCCACCUCAGCCUCCUGAAUAGCUGGGACCACAGGCAUGCGCCACUACACCUGGCUAAUUUUUGUAUUUCUUAUAGAGAUGAGGUUUCUCCAUGUUGUCCCGGAUGGUCUAAUGCACUAGCUCUUCCUCUCUCUGGGGCGGGUCAUCUGUUGUACUCACUGCUCUGAUUACAUUCUCUAAUAUUUAAGUAGACCAUGACCUGUCAUGGUCUGGACGUGUGGCUAAUUAUACUUAUCUCCUCAUCUCGUCUUUAAAAAAGAAUGAUCUCAGAUUCUUAUUACCAAAGGACGUUGGCCUCCUUUGUAGAGAAUACUUUGGGAAGGAUCCUUCUGUGGAGUUUGAUCCUGGGGACUCUGACUUUAGAGUUCUUGCUGAUCUUUCCUCUCCCUUUAAGGGUAAGGAUUAGUAUAUCUGCAGACAUCUCCAAGCUUAAGCUUUGUUAUUGUGGGCUUAUGGGCAGCAGCUUAGCAACCAUUUCAAGGCACUCAGCUGUCUCAUGGGUCUGUCUCUGCUUGUCACUGUCCCCUCUUGCCCUCCUUCUCAGAUCAUGCCACUACACUCUAGCUUGGGCGACAGAGCAAGACUCAGCCUCAAAAAACCCCAAAAAACAUAAACCCAUUGUUCUCUGUGAGGUGGUGGGUCAGCAUGGAUCCGAUCCUAGGUGGUGGGAAAACACCCUUUGCCUAAUGCUAAUGCGUAAGCUCUGGCUGCUGAGUACACCUUGUACAGACUUUGGAGAGAUGGGAGUAGGGGGCAUUUGCUGGACUUGAAUUUACACCUGUGGUUGGGAUCCAGGACCCAGACUGGGGAGUCCAGCUCUUAUCCCCACCAGCAGUUAUUCUGUGAUUCUGAGGCAGUGCCAUCUGGCUACCACCCUUAGCCAAGACUCUUUUACCUGGGAUGGUUAGAUAUCAGGCUGCUGUGUUUAGUAAAUUGAAACACUUUAUAAUGUGCUUUAUUCAGAGUUACUGAGUUCUGAAUCAGGCCUAUAUUCCAGGGCCAUUGCUAUAAUUGCCUAUUAGCAUAUACAGACAGUUUGAAAAAUCUGUUUAUUUGAGCUUUUUGCUUAUGUGGACUUUGGAUAAUUGAGCAAUUCAGUAUAUUACAUAGCGGGAGUCCUUGUGCCUACACAUCUCUGAGCCUGCAGAGAAUGACUCUCUUCACCUCUCUAGGGAUUAUUUAGAAUUAAUAAAAUCAAGUACUUUUUCACACGAGCCUGAAGGAAUUGUUAACUGAAGGAACUUUUAUGUGAUACAGUUUGUUCUGAAAAUUAGGUAUUUAAGGACUUUGUCAAUUAUGGUUAAGCACAUUUUUUAUUAAAAAGAACAAGAUAUGUAGCUAAGUGGCUGUGUCCGGGCUGAGAUGUUUCUUCUCACUCGAUCCUACAGUGAAGUCAAAAUAUAGUGACAGAUUCAGUUUCCAUAGCUGCAGAAUCUGUUUUCAAAAACACAAGGCUGUGAUUUCACUGUAGUUCAGUGCACAUUGAGAAGCUAAUAUGGAAAUAGAAAUGAAACUUUUCAAAAUACAUGCCUUAAAACAAAAACUUCCAGUUCCCCUUUAGUGCUUAGAUGAGAUUUUUUUUUUUUUCAGGCUUUGUAAGUUUUGCAGAUUAAUUUCAGAAGUUGACGGCAAUGUGAUCCUGGUGGACUGUCAUUCUGUAGUGUUAGUCAGGAAGCCCCUCACACACUUUCUUCUCAUUUCCUAAUGCGACAGUUUUUCUUUUUUGGCAAUCACCUUUUUUUAUUACUGAAUUUUAUUGUUGUUGCUGUUGUUUUGAGACAGGAUCUUACUCUGUCACCCAGGCAGGAGUGUGGUGGCGCCAUCAUGGCUCACGGCAGCCUUGAACUCCUGGGCUAAAGCAAUACUCCCAUCUCAGCCUCUCAAGUAGCUGGGACCACAGGUGCGCACUGCUGUAUCUGGCUAAUUUUGUUUAUUUUUUGUAGAGAUGAGGCCUCACUAUGUUGCCCAGGCUGGUCUCCAACUCCUGGGCUCAAGCAAUCCUCCUGCCUUGGUCUUCCAAAGUGUUGAGAUUACAGGCAUGAGUCACCAUGCCCAGCACUGAAUUGUCUUUAAUAAAGAUACAGAAGGUGUGGCACAGUAGCUUGUGCCUGCUGGUUCUUUUUAUGUCCCAACUGUUUGUUCUGAUAAAUUUUAAAUCUGUAAGUGGUGAAAUAAGAAUACAGUGAAGUACAUUGAUGUUUAUAUUAUGCAUUUAUUAGCAUGUUUGCCAGGAGCUAUUGUAAUAAACAGCCUUGGGUUCAACACCAGCUUCACCUGUUGGUUCUUAGGCCUGUGGGCAAGUUAUCUCCAGCCCUAGUUUCCCCAUUGGUGACUUGAGGAGGGUGAUGUUGUGGGCCUCAUGGGCUGCUGUGAGUUUUUGGACAAAUAACUCCUUGGGGUAAUGCACCCAGGCCUGGCUAAGCACACAGUCACUUUGCAGUAAGUGGCAGCCAAUAUUGCUCUUUUCCUUGUUGGAGUCAUGAUUUUUUAAAAGCCAAGUUCCUCCUACGGAGUGAGUGCAGUGAAAGCCAGGACCUAAGGAGGAAUCACAAACAGAACUGUUCUCUUCCUCUCCUACCCAUGUCCCAUAUUCCCGGACCUCUUUCUCACUCUAGUUAUUUUGUUAACUUUAUCCUAGGCUGUGACAGCUUGGCAGCCGCUGUUUUUGGGUGGAUAAGGUUCAUUCCUAAUCCAGGCCUGUUCACUGGGAGGCAUGAGGCCCCAGGUGCUUGCCUUCCCAUAGAUACCCACUCUUGGUAGGGCGUGGUGGCUCAUGUCUGUAAUCCCAGCACUUUGGGAGGCUGGCAUUUAUUUUGUGUUUAUCUGUGUGCAUAUGUGUGUUUGUGUGUUCGUGGGCCUGAGUGUAUAUGAAAUGAGAGCAAGAGAGGACAGACACGCAUGACAGCAUGCACGUGCAGCCCCCAGUCCACAUACAAGUCUGCCCUGAAGUCAUUCGAGCAGAAUCUGUAACAGGGGCUGCCUGGGGCCCCUAGCUGUUCUGGCUUGUGCUGUUCAGGAGGCCCUGGGGGCUCUCCCAGGAGUUCACAAGAGGCUCUGGCAGUUGUCCUUGACCCUUUGUCAUCUCCUUCCCUGCGCCUUUGGUUACCCUGACACUGCUCCGACUUUCUGACUAUAGUUGCUGCUGUCGGCUCGUCUAAAUCUUUCUUAUUCUGUGGGUGGUCACACACACCGUCUUCCAAGAUGCUGCUUCCCUUCACAGCAUAGUGUAGCAGUAGUUGCAGUUUUCCAGUGAUCAGAAAUGCUUCCCAGUCCUACAUCUACAAUUAUUUGAGAUAAACUUUGAUUAAGUCACUUAAUCUUUGCCCAAGCCUUUUCCCCAACCCCUGCCUCACAAAAUGGGGAUGAUUCUACGAAGCUUUAUUUAAGGAGCUGACCCGGACUGAUGGGCGUGCCAGAAAGGUCAAAUGAGGUAGGAGAGUGGUAAGAUGAAAGACGGGAGGAACAGACCUCUUUGCAUGGUUGCCUGUCAGCUGCCCCCAACCCAACUUGACCCCGGAGUUCAGACCCCAUCAUUGUCCUAGCUGGAGUAUGCAUAUUUCAUAUAUGGACUUGAGCAGUCUCAGCGAGUCUUUGCUUUGAGUUCCUUUGCCCCUGUUACGACAAGAGGGUUGUUUUAAGAGAGAGUGGACAGAUGUAGGAGAAUGGUCAGUGGUCAAGGAUCACAUGGAAUGUCCGAUUCUCCACUGGACCAUGAGCUCCUUUAAGAGCAGUGUUACUUAGAGCCAUCAUAGGGCAAGCAGUGUCUUUGGAUCCAUUCAAAGCUAGACUCGCAUCCUAGGCAAUGUUUAGUCUUUGUGUUUCCUCUCUUGUAAAAAGUGGGUGCUGAUAUUACUUUAUAGGUUGUAAGCCUUAAACAGGGUCAUGCAUGUUAAUUACUGAGCAUAGUACCAGACCACUGGCCUGUUUUACAAUUACAAGAGUGCUGGGGCUGUCGACGCUUUAAAAGAGCACAUGUUGGUCUCAUCACCUUCUACGCAGGCAUCAGUUUGCUCAGAAAAGAAGCUGUAAAAUGGCAAGAAAAAGAAUUGCCCUGGCUAGAGAACAGGGAGACUGUAGGGCUGGUCUUAAGCAAGGCCCUUCAUGAGC